AACCUUAUGGACCUGCGGGCGUAUACCUGCGGAAGGAUCAUUACCGAGUUUACAACUCCCAAACCCCUGUGAACAUACCUAUACGUUGCCUCGGCGGAUCAGCCCGCGCCCCGUAAAACGGGACGGCCCGCCCGAGGACCCUAAACUCUGUUUUUAGUGGAACUUCUGAGUAAAACAAACAAAUAAAUCAAAACUUUUAACAAUGGAUCU
RNAcentral lists this unclassified non-coding RNA (210 nucleotides) under soil metagenome. RNAcentral's name for it is "partial contains 5.8S ribosomal RNA, internal transcribed spacer 2, and large subunit ribosomal RNA". The record is from RNAcentral.